GUUAUCGUAGCUUAAAGGAAAGCAUGACACUGAAGAUGUCAAGACAGGCCCUCACAAAGACCUCGACAGCA
RNAcentral lists this transfer RNA (71 nucleotides) under Bothus myriaster (Indo-Pacific oval flounder). RNAcentral describes it as "tRNA-Phe". It matches the Rfam family "tRNA". From Rfam's summary of the family: Transfer RNA (tRNA) molecules are approximately 80 nucleotides in length. Lineage: Eukaryota; Metazoa; Chordata; Actinopteri; Pleuronectiformes; Bothidae. The record is from RNAcentral.